GGGUUUCCGCCCUUCAGUGCCGCAGCUAACGCAUUAAGCACUCCGCCUGGGGAGUACGACCGCAAGGUUGAAACUCAAAGGAAUUGACGGGGGCCCGCACAAGCGGUGGAGCAUGUGGUUUAAUUCGAAGCUACGCGAAGAACCUUACCAGGUCUUGACAUCUUGCGCCAACCCUAGAGAUAGGGCGUUUCCUUCGGGAACGCAAUGACAGGUGGUGCAUGGUCGUCGUCAGCUCGUGUCGUGAGAUGUUGGGUUAAGUCCCGCAACGAGCGCAACCCUUGUUACUAGUUGCCAGCAUUCAGUUGGGCACUCUAGUGAGACUGCCGGUGACAAACCGGAGGAAGGUGGGGACGACGUCAGAUCAUCAUGCCCCUUAUGACCUGGGCUACACACGUGCUACAAUGGACGGUACAACGAGUCGCGAACUCGCGAGGGCAAGCUAAUCUCUUAAAACCGUUCUCAGUUCGGACUGCAGGCUGCAACUCGCCUGCACGAAGUCGGAAUCGCUAGUAAUCGCGGAUCAGCAUGCCGCGGUGAAUACGUUCCCGGGCCUUGUACACACCGCCCGUCACACCAUGAGAGUUUGCAACACCCAAAGUCGGUGGGGUAACCCU
Molecule: ribosomal RNA, 614 nt
Filed under: Limosilactobacillus mucosae
Lineage: Bacteria; Bacillati; Bacillota; Bacilli; Lactobacillales; Lactobacillaceae
Description: bacterial SSU rRNA
Rfam family: Bacterial small subunit ribosomal RNA
Source: RNAcentral